Molecule: ribosomal RNA, 279 nt
Filed under: Venonia micarioides
Lineage: Eukaryota; Metazoa; Arthropoda; Arachnida; Araneae; Lycosidae
Description: partial 12S ribosomal RNA
Source: RNAcentral
ACAAACCUAAUUAAAAUGGCGGCAUUUUAUUUUACUAAAGGAACCUGUUUUUUAAUCGAUAACCCACGUUAAUUUUCACUUAAAUAUAUAAAUUUAUAUACCGCCGUUAUAAGAAUUAAUUUAAUAAUAUUAAUCUUAAAAAAAACUAACAAAUCAGGUAAAGGUGUAAUUAACUUUUAAGUUAAAAUGGGUUACAUUAAAAAAAAUUUAAGAAUUUAUAAACAAAAAUUUUUAAUAAAAUAGGAUUUAAAAGUAUUUAUUCAAUAAUAUUUUAUAAAG